Zonotrichia leucophrys gambelii is the source of this 270-nucleotide long non-coding RNA. RefSeq lists it as uncharacterized. NCBI's taxonomy places the organism in Eukaryota, Metazoa, Chordata, Aves, Passeriformes, Passerellidae. The transcript is spliced from 3 exons. The record is from RefSeq and is a predicted model, not a curated record.
GGAAAGUACACAUUAAAAAAAAAAAAAAAUUCACUUGGGAAACAAGGAUUUCCAAAAGGAGACAUGGAAAUAUUCAGGGAAAUGAAUAUUUUGUUAAUUUUUCUGAGUUGAACUGGCUCAUCAUUGAUGACGAAAAAGAAAAAGCGAGCUAAAGAAGAAUCUAACAACUAGAAUAAGAGGUGUCUGGUGACCUAAGAGAUACAAUUUUUUUCAAGGAGAGAAGAGUGUGUUUGCCCACUUGCCACUCUCUGUGCCCACGUGUGAGAUGUU